AGUGAACGCUGGCGGUAGGCCUAACACAUGCAAGUAGAACGGCAGCACAGUAAGAGCUUGCUCUUACGGGUGGCGAGUGGCGGACGGGUGAGGAAUACAUCGGAAUCUACUUUUUCGUGGGGGAUAACGUAGGGAAACUUACGCUAAUACCGCAUACGACCUACGGGUGAAAGCAGGGGAUCUUCGGACCUUGCGCGAUUGAAUGAGCCGAUGUCGGAUUAGCUAGUUGGCGGGGUAAAGGCCCACCAAGGCGACGAUCCGUAGCUGGUCUGAGAGGAUGAUCAGCCACACUGGAACUGAGACACGGUCCAGACUCCUACGGGAGGCAGCAGUGGGGAAUAUUGGACAAUGGGCGCAAGCCUGAUCCAGCCAUACCGCGUGGGUGAAGAAGGCCUUCGGGUUGUAAAGCCCAUUUGUUGGGAAAGAAAAGCAGCAGGUUAAUACCCCGCUGUUCUGACGGUACCCAAAGAAUAAGCACCGGCUAACUUCGUG
Molecule: ribosomal RNA, 492 nt
Filed under: uncultured bacterium
Lineage: Bacteria
Description: partial 16S ribosomal RNA
Rfam family: Bacterial small subunit ribosomal RNA
Source: RNAcentral